UGGGGAAUAUUGGACAAUGGGCGCAAGCCUGAUCCAGCAAUGCCGCGUGAGUGAUGAAGGCCUUAGGGUUGUAAAGCUCUUUCGCACGCGACGAUGAUGACGGUAGCGUGAGAAGAAGCCCCGGCUAACUUCGUGCCAGCAGCCGCGGUAAUACGAAGGGGGCUAGCGUUGUUCGGAAUUACUGGGCGUAAAGGGCGCGUAGGCGGCCUGUUUAGUCAGAAGUGAAAGCCCCGGGCUCAACCUGGGAAUAGCUUUUGAUACUGGCAGGCUUGAGUUCCGGAGAGGAUGGUGGAAUUCCCAGUGUAGAGGUGAAAUUCGUAGAUAUUGGGAAGAACACCGGUGGCGAAGGCGGCCAUCUGGACGGACACUGACGCUGAGGCGCGAAAGCGUGGGGAGCAACAGGAUUAGAUACCCUGGUAGUCCACGCCGUAAACGAUGAAUGCUAGACGUCGGGGUGCAUGCACUUCGGUGUCGCCGCUAACGCAUUAAGCAUUCCGCCUGGGGGAGUACGGCCGCAAGGUUAAAA
Molecule: ribosomal RNA, 526 nt
Filed under: uncultured bacterium
Lineage: Bacteria
Description: partial 16S ribosomal RNA
Rfam family: Bacterial small subunit ribosomal RNA
Source: RNAcentral